RNAcentral lists this unclassified non-coding RNA (389 nucleotides) under Hevea brasiliensis (rubber tree). The record is from RNAcentral. Lineage: Eukaryota; Viridiplantae; Streptophyta; Magnoliopsida; Malpighiales; Euphorbiaceae.
GGUAGAAGUAGAGGCGGACAAAUUUUUGGCCGGCGGUGACAGGAAAAGUGUACGUGAACGGGGAUCCAGAUAGGCGAGCAGUCGUGUAAGGGACCUGGGAAUCGCCUUGGAUAAGGGCCGUAGAAUAUACUNNNNNNNNNNNAUGGUUCCAGAGGACCGAAUUUCGAUUCCAAGUCUCCAGUCCAUUGGCGGCGAUCAACGGUGGUAUUCUCUGAGGAGCCACAGUUGAGAAGGAUAAGAUCAGAUGGCUGGUACGGAGCAUUAGAAGUAGUGGCGAGGUGAAGAAACAGUGAAAAUAAAAAAAAGAGAAAGAGGGUGGGUUUGAGAGAUGAAAGGUUAAUCAUACUAGUAGUCGUCAAAACGAGCAGAACUGGUGAAGCCCUUCUGUC